This 301-nucleotide ribosomal RNA is filed under the name uncultured bacterium. RNAcentral's name for it is "partial 16S ribosomal RNA". It matches the Rfam family "Bacterial small subunit ribosomal RNA", at positions 509 to 808 of the family's 1533-position model. The record is from RNAcentral.
CAGCCGCCGCGGUAAUACGUAGGGUGCAAGCGUUAAUCGGAAUUACUGGGCGUAAAGCGUGCGCAGGCGGUUAUAUAAGACAGAUGUGAAAUCCCCGGGCUCAACCUGGGAACUGCAUUUGUGACUGUAUAGCUAGAGUACGGCAGAGGGGGAUGGAAUUCCGCGUGUAGCAGUGAAAUGCGUAGAUAUGCGGAGGAACACCGAUGGCGAAGGCAAUCCCCUGGGCCUGUACUGACGCUCAUGCACGAAAGCGUGGGGAGCAAACAGGAUUAGAUACCCCAGUAGUCCUGUCUCUUAUACC